GCCGCUGUGGACUUGUGGAAUCACCUCAUCCAGAUUCAUCUCCCGAAAGAGAGUAUUGAGGAGACGAGGGUUCGAUUCCCUUCAGAGGCC
Molecule: non-coding RNA, 90 nt
Organism: Mycena polygramma
Lineage: Eukaryota; Fungi; Basidiomycota; Agaricomycetes; Agaricales; Mycenaceae
Source: the annotation of a GenBank genome assembly